CUUAAUGACAUCACCAUAAGAAACAGGUAUCCUCUGCCUCUGAUGUCAUCAGCCUUUGAAUUGCUACAGGGAGCCAGGGUCUUUACCAAGCUAGACCUCCGUAAUGCCUUCCAUUUGGUCCGCAUACGCGAAGGGCAUGAGUGGAAGACAGCAUUUAACACCCCAACGGGACACUUUGAAUACCGGGUUCUACCCUUCGGGCUCACCAACGCCCCAGCUGUCUUCCAGGCCCUGGUGAAUGAUGUGUUGAGAGACAUGACCUUUUUGUUCUACUCCCUGCCCUGACUCUCCUUGUGUCAGUUGAGACUUGGAUGCAUCGCUCCAGUCCCUCUCUGCAAUCUCAACGCUCUCACCUGGAGACUUGGUGAGAUUUCAACGCUGCGUCACGGACAGCGCUCUAGGCAGAGUGACCUAGGACCUAGUUUUGGACGUUCUCUCUCUUGUGUUCCUGUUUUCUUUCCCCCUUGUGCGCAGUGAGAGCAAAAUAAAACUUUUCUGUUACCUGUAA
Molecule: long non-coding RNA, 508 nt
Organism: Megalobrama amblycephala (Wuchang bream)
Lineage: Eukaryota; Metazoa; Chordata; Actinopteri; Cypriniformes; Xenocyprididae
Exons: 2
Source: RefSeq, a predicted model, not a curated record